Molecule: long non-coding RNA, 1663 nt
Organism: Phascolarctos cinereus (koala)
Lineage: Eukaryota; Metazoa; Chordata; Mammalia; Diprotodontia; Phascolarctidae
Source: RefSeq, a predicted model, not a curated record
GCGCCCUCCCCGCCCCCGCCCCCCGCAGCGGCCAGAUGUGGCCCCACGCCCCCGGCCCCAGGUGUGCCCGGGCCGGCGCCCCCAAGGGAACUGCGGGCUGGCCGGUUAAAAGCAAAACAAAACAAAAAUCAGAGCCCAGGGGAAAACAAUCGGAUUGGAAAAGGUGCAGGGGACAUGAGAACAAAAUGAACAAGGCCCUGCCAGCCCUGUUUUACAGAUGAAUGAGCAGAAACCCUGAAAGGAGGAAGCCUACUAGAAAGAGCUGUCACAUGGCAAAAAUGAGAUGCUUUGCCCCUCUUGAUUGAGGGUACUGCUCGGCCUCCUUUCCCCCUCACUCGGGCCCUUGUGCUGACCCUUGGCUUCCCAGGGCCUGAAUGGAGUUCCCAUCCAGGGUUAUCUUCCUCCGCCUGAUGCCCUUUUCUUCUUCAAGAGUCAAACCUAAAUGAGCUGCCACUCAAAAAAGGAUCUGAAACACGUCCACACUAAUGUAUGAAAAACAACUGCUUUGCUUCCAAUCUACACUUUAAUCUGAGACAACCCUUGGAACAACAGUCUAGGGCAACCAUUAUUGGGCCUAUGUGGGAAAUCCUUUUGGGCAGGAGGCUUUGCCAACGUGGUGCCUCCUGUUUUUGUGCUUCAGAGGGAACAAAGGUCUCCCUGAGUCACUGUUAAAGGCCUGAGUCACAAUCGGAGGCCAGCCUCCUUUUCAAAUCAGUGGGUAUUCCACAGUGGAUUGCUCAGACUCAGCUGCUCUCACCGCACCCCAAAACCAGGUUGUAACAAGUGAUCUCCUUCCAAGUGUUUUCUCAUUCUGUUUUUCUUCCUUGGUCAUUUGAUGGUGGGACCACUGGGCAAAUGAGCCUAAAUGCAAUCCAGUACCCUCAUUUGUUGUUAGAACUCGUGGAAAUGAAAUGACCAAUAAAACCUUGGUCUUCAGUGACAUAAGGAAAAAGGAAGCUGCCAGUCUUGCUUGGCUGGGAUAAAAUCUCAAUUUUUUUGUCUGUUUUGCCAAUUUGUUCCUCCUUUGUCUAUAAAAGAAGUUGAAACAAAAGAACCUAUUAGCUUUAAAAGACACUAUGGCCUUAAUCAUUCCUUUUUCUAGGAUUUCUCUUUUUUAGUGGCUCUGUGUUCUUUCUGAGGAGGGUUCUUUCUUUCCCUCCCCCCAAGGUUUGAUAUACAGAGAAAAGUAUUUUUAGGUUAUUUCUCUUAAUUGCUUUCGCAGUGCUAAAAAUAACAUGGUUCCUAGAAGGCUGCCCCAAACACAAGUCAACUCGACAGGGCCACUUCCCUGACCACAAAGGAUGACCAGGACCUUCCUCCACAAGCAGCGUUUCCAGUCCAGCUGAUGAGAGCUGGUCUGUCCCCGACAUUAGAUCACAGAUUUAAGAACCAGAAAACACCUAAGAAAUCAUCUCAAGCCUCUUCAUUUUACAGACGAGCAAACGGGGGCCCAAGGAGACAUGAUCUGCCCAAUGUCACACCAAGGUGAGAUUCUGAACCCAUGCCCAGAACCCAUGCAGGCUUCUUUUUGUGCCUUGUAAAAUGCUGCCUGGCAGUUUUCAGAAGAAAUCCAAACUUUCUGUAGUCAUAUGCAAAAGUGCUCUAAAUCACUAAUGAUUAGAGAAAUGCAAAUUAGAACUCUUGAGGUACCACUUUACAUCUA